This 1489-nucleotide ribosomal RNA is filed under the name Lactiplantibacillus plantarum. RNAcentral's name for it is "bacterial SSU rRNA". It matches the Rfam family "Bacterial small subunit ribosomal RNA". Lineage: Bacteria; Bacillati; Bacillota; Bacilli; Lactobacillales; Lactobacillaceae. The record is from RNAcentral.
GACGAACGCUGGCGGCGUGCCUAAUACAUGCAAGUCGAACGAACUCUGGUAUUGAUUGGUGCUUGCAUCAUGAUUUACAUUUGAGUGAGUGGCGAACUGGUGAGUAACACGUGGGAAACCUGCCCAGAAGCGGGGGAUAACACCUGGAAACAGAUGCUAAUACCGCAUAACAACUUGGACCGCAUGGUCCGAGUUUGAAAGAUGGCUUCGGCUAUCACUUUUGGAUGGUCCCGCGGCGUAUUAGCUAGAUGGUGGGGUAACGGCUCACCAUGGCAAUGAUACGUAGCCGACCUGAGAGGGUAAUCGGCCACAUUGGGACUGAGACACGGCCCAAACUCCUACGGGAGGCAGCAGUAGGGAAUCUUCCACAAUGGACGAAAGUCUGAUGGAGCAACGCCGCGUGAGUGAAGAAGGGUUUCGGCUCGUAAAACUCUGUUGUUAAAGAAGAACAUAUCUGAGAGUAACUGUUCAGGUAUUGACGGUAUUUAACCAGAAAGCCACGGCUAACUACGUGCCAGCAGCCGCGGUAAUACGUAGGUGGCAAGCGUUGUCCGGAUUUAUUGGGCGUAAAGCGAGCGCAGGCGGUUUUUUAAGUCUGAUGUGAAAGCCUUCGGCUCAACCGAAGAAGUGCAUCGGAAACUGGGAAACUUGAGUGCAGAAGAGGACAGUGGAACUCCAUGUGUAGCGGUGAAAUGCGUAGAUAUAUGGAAGAACACCAGUGGCGAAGGCGGCUGUCUGGUCUGUAACUGACGCUGAGGCUCGAAAGUAUGGGUAGCAAACAGGAUUAGAUACCCUGGUAGUCCAUACCGUAAACGAUGAAUGCUAAGUGUUGGAGGGUUUCCGCCCUUCAGUGCUGCAGCUAACGCAUUAAGCAUUCCGCCUGGGGAGUACGGCCGCAAGGCUGAAACUCAAAGGAAUUGACGGGGGCCCGCACAAGCGGUGGAGCAUGUGGUUUAAUUCGAAGCUACGCGAAGAACCUUACCAGGUCUUGACAUACUAUGCAAAUCUAAGAGAUUAGACGUUCCCUUCGGGGACAUGGAUACAGGUGGUGCAUGGUUGUCGUCAGCUCGUGUCGUGAGAUGUUGGGUUAAGUCCCGCAACGAGCGCAACCCUUAUUAUCAGUUGCCAGCAUUAAGUUGGGCACUCUGGUGAGACUGCCGGUGACAAACCGGAGGAAGGUGGGGAUGACGUCAAAUCAUCAUGCCCCUUAUGACCUGGGCUACACACGUGCUACAAUGGAUGGUACUACGAGUUGCGAACUCGCGAGAGUAAGCUAAUCUCUUAAAGCCAUUCUCAGUUCGGAUUGUAGGCUGCAACUCGCCUACAUGAAGUCGGAAUCGCUAGUAAUCGCGGAUCAGCAUGCCGCGGUGAAUACGUUCCCGGGCCUUGUACACACCGCCCGUCACACCAUGAGAGUUUGUAACACCCAAAGUCGGUGGGGUAACCUUUUAGGAACCAGCCGCCUAAGGUGGGACAGAUGAUUAGGGUG